This 426-nucleotide ribosomal RNA is filed under the name uncultured soil bacterium. RNAcentral's name for it is "bacterial SSU rRNA". It matches the Rfam family "Bacterial small subunit ribosomal RNA", at positions 966 to 1393 of the family's 1533-position model. The record is from RNAcentral.
GAACCUUACCUGGGCUCGAAAUGCUAUGGACCGGGGUGGAAACAUCCCUUCCCCGCAAGGGGCCGUAGUAUAGGUGCUGCAUGGCUGUCGUCAGCUCGUGUCGUGAGAUGUUGGGUUAAGUCCCGCAACGAGCGCAACCCUUACUUCCAGUUGCCAUCAUUUAGUUGGGCACUCUGGCAGAACCGCCUCGGAUAACGGGGAGGAAGGUGGGGAUGACGUCAAGUCCUCAUGGCCUUUAUGUCCAGGGCUACACACGUGCUACAAUGGCCGGUACAAACCGUCGCAAACCCGUGAGGGGGAGCUAAUCGGAAAAAGCCGGCCUCAGUUCGGAUUGGAGUCUGCAACUCGACUCCAUGAAGCUGGAAUCGCUAGUAAUCGCGGAUCAGAACGCCGCGGUGAAUACGUUCCCGGGCCUUGUCACACCGA